This 301-nucleotide ribosomal RNA is filed under the name uncultured bacterium. RNAcentral describes it as "partial 16S ribosomal RNA". It matches the Rfam family "Bacterial small subunit ribosomal RNA", at positions 509 to 807 of the family's 1533-position model. The record is from RNAcentral.
CAGUAGCCGCGGUAAAACGUAGGUGGCAAGCGUUGUCCGGAAUUAUUGGGCGUAAAGGGCUCGCAGGCGGUUUCUUAAGUCUGAUGUGAAAGCCCCCGGCUCAACCGGGGAGGGUCAUUGGAAACUGGGAAACUUGAGUGCAGAAGAGGAGAGUGGAAUUCCACGUGUAGCGGUGAAAUGCGUAGAGAUGUGGAGGAACACCAGUGGCGAAGGCGACUCUCUGGUCUGUAACUGACGCUGAGGCUCGAAAGCCAGGGGAGCGAACGGGAUUAGAUACCCCAGUAGUCCCUGUCUCUUAUAC